CUUUAACAAUCCGGAACAAGCUGAAAAUUGAAACGACGCAGCGCGUUAUUCCUCCGUAAUAAGGAAUGACAAAGCGAUGCGUUCGAGUCUCUCAAAUGCUUGCAACUCGCAGCGUUGAAAAACGCCUGUGG
RNAcentral lists this small RNA (131 nucleotides) under Pantoea agglomerans. Its description in RNAcentral is "Salmonella enterica Typhi npcRNA 44". It matches the Rfam family "Salmonella enterica Typhi npcRNA 44". Lineage: Bacteria; Pseudomonadati; Pseudomonadota; Gammaproteobacteria; Enterobacterales; Erwiniaceae. The record is from RNAcentral.